CGCUGAACUUAAGCAUAUUAAUAAGCGGAGGAAAGAAACUAACAAGGAUUCCCCUAGUAACGGCGAGUGAAGCGGGAUGAGCUCAAGCUUAAAAUCUCUGUGCCAGUUUGGCAUGGCGAAUUGUAGUCUAUGGAGGCGCUGUCAGUGCGAUUGUUCGGGGUAAGUUCCUUGGAAGAGGACAGCAUCGAGGGUGAUACUCCCGUAUGUACCUGUUCAGUUGCGCGUACGACACGUUUUCUUUGAGUCGCGUUGUUUGGGAAUGCAGCGCAAAGUAGGUGGUAAAUUCCAUCUAAAGCUAAAUAUUGGUGCGAGACCGAUAGCGAACAAGUACCGUGAGGGAAAGAUGAAAAGAACUUUGAAAAGAGAGUUAAAGAGUACCUGAAACUGCUGAAAGGGAACCGAAUCGUAUCCAGUGUCUAUAAUCCAUGGCAUAUUUCAUUGGCGAGUGAGUGCGUGCAGCGUUUUGGAAGUGGUUUUCCGCUCCUGUCGUUGUUGUGCAUUUGCUUGCUGGUGCCCUGUGCUGUGGUGGGACGUCAGAGUCAGUUUGUAUGUUGCGGGAAAUGGUUAUUGGGGAGGUAGGUCACUUCGGUGGCUGUUAUAUCCUGGUAACUAGUCGUCGUGGCUGAGACUGAGGUGCCUACAAUGUGCUUUCGAGUGUGCGGGAUUCUCGUGUGGCUGUUUGCUUUGAUAGCUUGCUAUGUUGGUGAAUAAGUCGUGCGAUUGAGACUUGUAUUAACUUGUUGCCGUUCGGGACUUUGACGAAAUGGAGCGAUCCGACCCGUCUUGAAACACGGACCAAGGAGUCUAACAUGUGUGCAAGUGUUAGGGUGUGGAAACCCCAGCGCGAAAUGAAAGUAAAGGACAGCCUAGCUGUCUGAGGUAGGAAACCUUUGUUUACAGGGGUGGCACUAUCGACCGAUCAUGAACCUUCGUGGUGAAAGAUUUGAGUUUGAGCACAUAUGUUGGUACCCGAAAGAUGGUGAACUAUGCCUGAGUAGGGUGAAGCCAGGGGAAACUCUGGUGGAGGCUCGUAGCGAUUCUGACGUGCAAAUCGAUCGUCAAACUUGGGUAUAGGGGCGAAAGACUAAUCGAACCAUCUAGUAGCUGGUUCCCUCCGAAAUUUCCCUCAGGAUAGCAGCAACUUAUUUACGAUAGUUUUAUGAGGUAAAGCGAAUGAUUAGAGGAUUUGGGGAAGAAACUUCCUUGACCUAUUCUCAAACUUUAAAUCUGUAAGACCUGCAGGUUUCUUAAUUGAACUUGUGGAUGUGAAUAUCAAGUUGCUAGUGGGCCAUACCGGGUAAGCUGGUCUGGCG
RNAcentral lists this ribosomal RNA (1313 nucleotides) under Pythium arrhenomanes. RNAcentral describes it as "eukaryotic LSU rRNA". It matches the Rfam family "Eukaryotic large subunit ribosomal RNA", at positions 26 to 1155 of the family's 3401-position model. Lineage: Eukaryota; Oomycota; Peronosporomycetes; Pythiales; Pythiaceae. The record is from RNAcentral.